UAGUUAGUUGGUAGGGUAAGAGCCUACCAAGGCGAUGAUGGAUAGCCGGUUUGAGAGGAUGACCGGUCACAUUGGGACUGAGAUACGGCCCAGACUCCUACGGGAGGCAGCAGCUAAGAAUCUUCCGCAAUGGGCGAGAGCCUGACGGAGCGACGCCGCGUGGACGAAGAAGGCGUUUUGCGUUGUAAAUGUCCUUUUUAUAUGGAAAAAUGCUAUAUAAUAGAUAUAGUUGAUGGUACAUAUGAACGAGCCCCGGCUAAUUACGUGCCAGCAGCCGCGGUAAGACGUAAGGGGCGAGCGUUGUUCGGAAUUAUUGGGCAUAAAGGGCGAGUAGGCGGUCUAGUAAGUUAUAGGUGGAAAAUAUGGGCUCAACCUGUAUCUUGCCUAUAAAACUGCUGGACUAGAGUAUGAGAUAGGAUGUCGGAAUUCCUGGUGUAGGGGUGGAAUCUAUAGAUAUCAGGAGGAACACCGAUGGCGAAGGCAGGCAUCUGGCUUGUUACUGACGCUGAGGAGCGAAAGCGUGGAUAGCGAACAGGAUUAGAUACCCUGGUAGUCCACGCAGUAAACGUUGUAUACUAGGUGUAUGGGGUAUCGAUCCCCUGUGUGCCGUAGCAAAUGCAUUAAGUAUACCGCCUGGGGAGUAUGCCGGCAACGGUGAAACUCAAAGGAAUUGACGGGGGCCCGCACAAGCGUUGGAGCAUGUGGUUUAAUUCGAUGAUACGCGAAGAAUCUUACCUGGGUUUGACAUGCAGACUACGGGAUAAGAGAUUAUCCUUCCCGCGAGGGUGUUUGCACAGGUGCUGCAUGGCUGUCGUCAGCUCGUGUCGUGAGAUGUUGGUUUAAGUCCCGCAACGAGCGCAACCCUCAUAUCUAGUUGCCAACAGGUAAAGCUGGGGACUCUAGAUAAACUGCUGAGCGUAAGCCGGAGGAAGGUGGGGAUGACGUCAAGUCCUCAUGGCCUUUAUAUCCAGGGCUACACACGUGCUACAAUGGUAGGUACAAAGAGAAGCGAAUACGAGAGUUGGAGCCAAUCUCAGAAAGCCUAUCUAAGUUCGGAUUGGAGUCUGAAACUCGACUUCAUGAAGUUGGAAUCGCUAGUAAUCGCAGAUCAGCACG
RNAcentral lists this ribosomal RNA (1116 nucleotides) under uncultured organism. RNAcentral describes it as "bacterial SSU rRNA". It matches the Rfam family "Bacterial small subunit ribosomal RNA", at positions 242 to 1356 of the family's 1533-position model. The record is from RNAcentral.